RNAcentral lists this transfer RNA (63 nucleotides) under Holochlora fruhstorferi. Its description in RNAcentral is "tRNA-Phe". It matches the Rfam family "tRNA". From Rfam's summary of the family: Transfer RNA (tRNA) molecules are approximately 80 nucleotides in length. The record is from RNAcentral. Lineage: Eukaryota; Metazoa; Arthropoda; Insecta; Orthoptera; Tettigoniidae.
AUUUAAGUAGCUUAUUAGAGCAUGACAUUGAAGCUGUCAAGGAGAUAGUUAUAUUCUUAAAUA